This 477-nucleotide ribosomal RNA is filed under the name Candidatus Scalindua wagneri. RNAcentral describes it as "bacterial SSU rRNA". It matches the Rfam family "Bacterial small subunit ribosomal RNA", at positions 365 to 832 of the family's 1533-position model. The record is from RNAcentral. Lineage: Bacteria; Pseudomonadati; Planctomycetota; Candidatus Brocadiia; Candidatus Brocadiales; Candidatus Scalinduaceae. RNAcentral also lists the same sequence under 1 other name.
UUCGCAAUGCCCGAAAGGGUGACGAUGCGACGCCGCGUGAGCGAAGAAGGCCCUAGGGUUGUAAAGCUCUGUCAGGGGUUAAGAAAUGUAGAUAGGUUAAUACCCUGUUUAUUUGACAAAAGCCCCAAAGGAAGCCACGGCUAACUCUGUGCCAGCAGCCGCGGUAAUACAGAGGUGGCAAGCGUUGUUCGGUAUUAUUGGGCGUAAAGAGCACGUAGGUGGUUUUGUAAGUCAGAUGUGAAAGCCUUCUGUUCAAAGGAAGAACGGCAUCUGAAACUGCAAAUCUUGAGUGUAGGAGGGGAGAGUGGAACUUCUGGUGGAGCGGUGAAAUGCGUAGAUGUCAGAAGGAACGUCGGCGGCGAAAGCGACUCUCAGGCCUAUUACUGACACUGAGUGUGCGAAAGUUAGGGGAGCAAACGGGAUUAGAUACCCCGGUAGUCCUAACCGUAAACGAUGGGCACUAAGUAGAGGGGUUUU